This 548-nucleotide ribosomal RNA is filed under the name Attiliosa nodulifera. RNAcentral describes it as "partial 12S ribosomal RNA". The stretch from base 205 to 548 matches the Rfam family "Bacterial small subunit ribosomal RNA", at positions 875 to 1384 of the family's 1533-position model. The record is from RNAcentral. Lineage: Eukaryota; Metazoa; Mollusca; Gastropoda; Neogastropoda; Muricidae.
AACCAAGAAGGCUAAGUUAUAUUUUUUGGUAAAAAGACAGUUAAAUAAUAGUUGAAAAGUUGAUUAAAUAUCUGUAAAAGGGUAGAAUCUGAAUACGUAUAUAUAAUUCAGUCUUGACUUUAGUAUUGAAGCUGUGAUAGCCUUGAGGGAAACUGGGAUUAGAUACCCCAUUAUUCUUGGAUAUAAAUUAAUACAAAUUUACCAGAGUACUAUGAACUAUAUAAAGUUUAAAACUCAAAGGGCUUGGCGGUGCUUUAGACCCCUCAGGGGAACCUGUCUCAUAAUCGACAAUCCACGUUAUACCUAACCUCUUUUUGCUAUCAGUUUGUAUACCGUCGUCGUCAGGUAACUUUUAAAAAGUUAGAAGUUAGCAAAGAAAUUAAAAUGAGUUUGAACGUCAGAUCAAGGUGCAGUUUAUAAAGAGGUGAGGAUGGGUUACAAUUGUCUAAUUACAACUACAAAGAGAUUGGCUGAACUAGCUAGUUUUAAGGAGGACUUGAAAGUAAACUAGAUUAUAUAAAUAUUUUGAAUAAGGCUCUGAAGCGUGC